CAGGUAGGUUAUCUGGAGUCUCCGAGGCUUCCUACCUUUACCUGUAAAGCAGGAUAAGCAACCCCCCUUCCUAGGGCCACUGCGCUACAGAUAAUGUGUGUGAAAGUGCUCCAGGCAUCGGCGGGGCUGGCAACAGGGAGAUGUUAUUAUUUGUAAUUUGCCGAUUAAGAAACUGAGGCACCGAGGGAGGCUGUGAGUAAGCCUCAGUCUGGGCUCCCACCAGGAGAAGGAGACGCUUGUGGGAGAAUGUGCCCAUGGUUCCUUUGAACUCUAGCAACCUGGGUUCUGCCAUCAAAGAGGUGAAGUUUGUCAAAGGUGGUCCUGAAUCACCCAGAAGAUGAGGCGCUUCUCCCCAACACCUUAGGAAAGGACCUGAAUCCACGUGCACUGAGGCCUCAUGAAACAAGACACCCAGCUUCUAGCCACCCCUGCCGGGUUGCCCAGUGUCCCUCAGCUGACUUGCCUUGCAACCUCUUGCCUGCCUCUGUCACCAGCCUUUUAUGUUCAUGGCAAGGCCACGGCUCUUCAGUUGGUGCUGCAGCCUUGAUCUGGGCUCUCGGGCCCUAAGGGAUUGUAUCUAGAAACACCUGAAGUGGGAUUUCUCAAUCUGGGCACAACAGGCAUUUUGAGUGGCUUACCCCCACCCCCAUGCUCCUCACCACCCGGCCCUGUGGGACCAGUUCUGUGCAUUGCCAGUAGCACUCCACCAGUCAAUCAAAAAUAUCUCUAGGCACUGUCACAUGUCCCCUGUGGGAGGUGGGGGGACCUGACCUCCACCCUUCCACAUGGAGAAUCACUGAUUAGACACUCCUUCGUGCCAGGUUGUAGACAGUAGGCAUGGUGCUCCUUUAGGUAUCAAUACAUAGAUGUGGUUUAUAUUUUUCAGAUUUAAAUUCAUGCCAGAAAGAGCCCCCUAUGAAGGAGGGAGUUGUUUCAACUGCAGAUGGAACUGGCAGGGGCAAGAGAGAAAGAGCAGGAAUGGUAUUUUCUUGUUCAAAGAGUCCUUUGAAAGGCCGCACUGAACCCCGGGGACCAUGGGGUGGCAGGUGCCUGGGAGGCUCACGGGCUUAGCCCUCCUCCCCCUGAGCCUGGGAGGUGGGGUUUGCCCCCCACGCCCUGCCCUUCCUCCCAGGGCUGCCAGCUCUUCGUGUGGCCUCUGAGUGUGUGCUCAGUGAAUCUUCAGCAGCAGGAAAGGCACAUCUCAGAGGUAGGUGGGAGGGUGUGACCCCAGCUUUGAAAAAAUAACAUCACUCUACACACACCCAUGCACGGAGACAGACACACCUAAAUGUCACUCCCAUUACUGGCAGAGGAAGCUGGGAUUUCAGGUGACUCUUCAUUCAUUUAUCUUAUAUGUUUUAUACAUUUUCUCAUUUUUCUAUCUUGAGCAAGAAACAAAAGUCAUUCAAAAAGUAGGAAAGUAGACACUUGGGAGAAAGUACGCUGAUGUCCAAAUUGCCAGAAACCGCACUGGAUCACGCGGGCAGCCCGGCGAUCUGGGGAGGGCUCCCCUGGGGCUGAGCUUCAGGAGAGGGCACAGGGCGCGACAUGGAGUUCCGGGAAUGCGCAGGCUGCCGCCCUCCUCUGCCAGCUCUCGGGAGCGUGGAGAUGGGGUGGUGGGGCGGCUGGGAGUGAACCCCGAACGUCUCUCCGUCCCUGCACCUAUGUCUGGACCGGAACCAUGCGGCCUCCCGCACCUGGGGCGGUGCGCCGCGGGAGCCAGGGACAGGCGACAGGUCCGCCUGUGGGGGCCUUUCCAGACUGGUGCCCGGUGGCUAAAGGCGACCGGGUCGGAGUGACCACGAGCCCUUGACCACACCUGUAGGACACGUGGGCAGGCCGGGGUUGCGUGUGGCUUCUCGGGAGGAAGAUCGGCGAGAUGUCGCUUGGGCGUUUCCGGGAGCCUUUAGUGGCCCUGGUUCUCGGGAACUGGACGUAAAACAAAAGAGCCAAAGGCAACGCGACCCGCGCGGCGGGCCCCGGCGGCUGGCAGUGUCCUCGCAGUCCUUUUUGCAGAUGCCACGUGAGGCUGGGCCCCGGAUUGCC
RNAcentral lists this long non-coding RNA (2046 nucleotides) under Marmota monax (woodchuck). The record is from RNAcentral. Lineage: Eukaryota; Metazoa; Chordata; Mammalia; Rodentia; Sciuridae.